GGGGGGACGGAGAAGGCUAGGUGGGCCUGGCGACGGUUGUCCAGGUUCAAGUGCGUAGGCUUAAGAGUUAGGUAAAUCCGGCUCUUUUUAAGGCUGAGACACGACGUCGAGCAUCUACGGAUGUGAAGUCAUUGAUGCCAUGCUUCCAGGAAAAGCCUCUAAGCUUCAGAUUGUAAGGAAUCGUACCCCAAACCGACACAGGUGGUCGGGUAGAGAAUACCAAGGCGCUUGAGAGAACUCGGGUGAAG
This 248-nucleotide ribosomal RNA is filed under the name Vibrio parahaemolyticus. Its description in RNAcentral is "partial 23S ribosomal RNA". It matches the Rfam family "Bacterial large subunit ribosomal RNA", at positions 1466 to 1709 of the family's 2925-position model. The record is from RNAcentral. Lineage: Bacteria; Pseudomonadati; Pseudomonadota; Gammaproteobacteria; Vibrionales; Vibrionaceae.